Molecule: RNA transcript, 1675 nt
Organism: Phlebotomus argentipes
Lineage: Eukaryota; Metazoa; Arthropoda; Insecta; Diptera; Psychodidae
Gene name: arf-GAP with dual PH domain-containing protein 1-like
Exons: 6
Source: RefSeq, a predicted model, not a curated record
AUUACCCAGUACGAUAACAAGGACUAAGAACUUCUUGUGUUUCUCCAUGUUUUUACGGUAUACCAACGGCUGCGACAGUCAAUUUUUCGCUGUGCUUUUCGAAAAUGUCAAAGAGGCGCCCGCGGAUGUGACAGUGUUUCUCCGAACUGCGUUUUGAACGCACACAGAAGAGCGCUGUGCUGGAGCUGAGGGUGGUUCACUAUCAAAAUAAUCCCUCGCAUUUCCUCGCGAGUGUCUCGUGGCCGAGGUGGUCCACAUUGCGGACUCUGUGCAGUGCUUUGGUGUUGUGAGGUGUGUGUUUGGGGCGCGUGGAGUGCCCGAGAUGGCAGACCAGAAUCUUCAGAUGCUGCUGGAGCUGCUGAAGAAGAGUGGCAACAACGAGUGUGCUGAUUGCGGCAGCAAAUAUGUUGAAUGGGCAUCGUACAACAUUGGCAUCUUCCUGUGCACUCGUUGUGCGGGUGUGCAUCGCGCCAUGGGCGCUCACAUCUCCAAAGUGAAGCACUUGAAAUUGGACAAAUGGGAGGACAGUCAACUGGAACGGAUGAAGGAGGUUGGCAAUGUGAAGGCACGUCUCAAGUAUGAGCAACGGGUUCCGGCCUGCUACAGACGACCCACUGAAGACUCCCCCCAAGUGCUCAUCGAGCAGUGGAUUCGCGCCAAGUACGAACGCCUGGAGUUCUCCCUCAAUGAGCGACCCAGUUAUACUUCUGGCCACAUGGAGGGCUUCCUCAUGAAGCGCGGCAAGGAGGACAGUCGCUACCAGCCGCGUAAGUUUGUUCUGUGCGAGACGGAUGACACGCUCAAGUACCAUGUGAAGGAGAGCAAGGACCCAAAAGCCGUCCUGCGAAUAUCUGAACUCAAUGUGGCAUUCGCGCCGCCCAAGAUUGGCCACAUGAACUCCAUGCAGCUGACGUACUUGAAGGACGGCUCCACCAGGCACAUUUACGUGUACCACGACGACCCGGAAGUGAUUAAUAACUGGUACAUGGCAAUUCGCUGCGCGAAGUUGCACCGCCUGCAAGUGGCAUUUCCGUCCGCGUCCGAGGCGGAACUCGUGCAUCUGCUGACGAGGGACUUUGCCCGCGAAGGGUGGCUGCUCAAAACUGGACCACGACCCUCUGAUGGCUACAAGAGACGCUGGUUCACCCUGGACAACAGGAAACUCAUGUACCACGACGACCCGCUGGACGCUUAUCCGAAAGGCGAGAUCUUCCUGGGCCACCAAAUGGACGGCUAUAGUGUCCGAAUAGGGGCACCGCAGGGCGCCAAGGAUCAGGGCUUCAGCUUUACGCUCUUCACGCCCGAGAGGGUGUUUAAUUUGUCUGCCAGCACUGAACAGGAGCGCGAUGAGUGGAUGCACGAGAUCCAGAAGGUGCUGGAACGUCCGCUCACGCCGCAAGACAGCUCAAGCAAACGGAGGAGAGGCUUUUAUUUCAUUCACCGUCUCACGAAAUUACUCUAUGGAAAAUGAUUACUUUUAGCCUUGACCUCAAAAAAAAAACAUGAGAGACCCACCAAAAGUCACACAAAAACCUUCUCAUUGCAAGCGUGAAAAGUCUGAAAAUUGGUUUCUGCUAGACUCAUUCGGAAGCGAACAGGAACAAAUUCAAUAAACAUCUUCACGGGACGAUAAUGAAGGAUGACGGUGGCGAGAUGGCACUUUUAGAGCUGCAUU